GCGUUGCUCGGACUGACUGGGCGUAAAGGGCGCGUAGGCGUAUGGCACAGUCAGAUGUGAAAUUCCCGGGCUUAACCUGGGGGCUGCAUUUGAUACGUGUUGUCUAGAGUGAGGAAGAGGGUCGUGGAAUUCCCAGUGUAGGGGGGAAAUGCGUAGAUAUUGGGAAGAACAGCGGUGGCGAAGGCGGCGACCUGGUCCUUGACUGACGCUGAGGCGCGAAAGCGUG
Molecule: ribosomal RNA, 226 nt
Filed under: uncultured bacterium
Lineage: Bacteria
Description: partial 16S ribosomal RNA
Rfam family: Bacterial small subunit ribosomal RNA
Source: RNAcentral